RNAcentral lists this ribosomal RNA (253 nucleotides) under uncultured bacterium. Its description in RNAcentral is "partial 16S ribosomal RNA". It matches the Rfam family "Bacterial small subunit ribosomal RNA", at positions 524 to 776 of the family's 1533-position model. The record is from RNAcentral.
UACAGAGGGGGCAAGCGUUGUUCGGAAUUACUGGGCGUAAAGGGCUCGUAGGCGGCCAACUAAGUCAGACGUGAAAUCCCUCAGCUUAACUGGGGAACUGCGUCUGAUACUGGAUGGCUUGGAUUCGGGAGAGGAAUGCGGAAUUCCAGGUGUAGCGGUGAAAUGCGUAGAUAUCUGGAGGAACACCGGUGGCGAAGGCGGCAUUCUGGACCGACAUUGACGCUGAGGAGCGAAAGCCAGGGGAGCGAACAGG